Molecule: ribosomal RNA, 521 nt
Filed under: uncultured Sphingobacterium sp.
Lineage: Bacteria; Pseudomonadati; Bacteroidota; Sphingobacteriia; Sphingobacteriales; Sphingobacteriaceae
Description: bacterial SSU rRNA
Rfam family: Bacterial small subunit ribosomal RNA
Source: RNAcentral
GAGUUUGAUCCUGGCUCAGGAUGAACGCUAGCGGCAGGCUUAAUACAUGCAAGUCGAGGGGCAGCGGGGGUAGCAAUACCUGCCGGCGACCGGCAAACGGGUGCGGAACACGUACACAACCUUCCUUUUAGUGUGGGAUAGCCCAGAGAAAUUUGGAUUAAUACCACAUAGUAUAUUGGGGUGGCAUCACUUUGAUAUUAAAGAUUUAUCGCUAAAAGAUGGGUGUGCGUAUGAUUAGGUAGUUGGUAGAGGUAACGGCUCACCAAGCCUUCGAUCAUUAACUGGUGUGAGAGCACGACCAGUCACACGGGCACUGAGACACGGGCCCGACUCCUACGGGAGGCAGCAGUAAGGAAUAUUGGUCAAUGGACGCAAGUCUGAACCAGCCAUGCCGCGUGAAGGAUGACGGCCCUCUGGGUUGUAAACUUCUUUUAUCUGGGACAAAAGGGCCAUUAUUGGUCAACUGACGGUACCAGAGGAUAAGCACCGGCUAACUCCGUGCCAGCAGCCGCCGCAGUAAC